This 443-nucleotide ribosomal RNA is filed under the name Klebsiella sp. RNAcentral describes it as "bacterial SSU rRNA". It matches the Rfam family "Bacterial small subunit ribosomal RNA", at positions 559 to 1000 of the family's 1533-position model. Lineage: Bacteria; Pseudomonadati; Pseudomonadota; Gammaproteobacteria; Enterobacterales; Enterobacteriaceae. The record is from RNAcentral.
CGUAAAGCGCACGCAGGCGGUUUGUUAAAGUCAGAUGUGAAAUCCCCGGGCUCACCCUGGGAACUGCAUUUGAAACUGGCAAGCUUGAGUCUUGUAGAGGGGGGUAGAAUUCCAGGUGUAGCGGUGAAAUGCGUAGAGAUCUGGAGGAAUACCGGUGGCGAAGGCGGCCCCCUGGACAAAGACUGACGCUCAGGUGCGAAAGCGUGGGGAGCAAACAGGAUUAGAUACCCUGGUAGUCCACGCUGUAAACGAUGUCGACUUGGAGGUUGUUCCCUUGAGGAGUGGCUUCCGGAGCUAACGCGUUAAGUCGACCGCCUGGGGAGUACGGCCGCAAGGUUAAAACUCAAAUGAAUUGACGGGGGCCCGCACAAGCGGUGGAGCAUGUGGUUUAAUUCGAUGCAACGCGAAGAACCUUACCUACUCUUGACAUCCAGAGAACUUAG